Small nuclear RNA from Camelus dromedarius (Arabian camel), 107 nucleotides. Lineage: Eukaryota; Metazoa; Chordata; Mammalia; Artiodactyla; Camelidae. The record is from Ensembl.
GCGCUCACUUCAGCAGCACAUAUGCUGUAACUGGAACAAUACAGAGAAGACUAGCACGGCCCCUGGACAAGAAUGACGUGCAAACGCACGAAGCGUUCUAUACUUAU